Molecule: ribosomal RNA, 528 nt
Filed under: uncultured Ralstonia sp.
Lineage: Bacteria; Pseudomonadati; Pseudomonadota; Betaproteobacteria; Burkholderiales; Burkholderiaceae
Description: partial 16S ribosomal RNA
Source: RNAcentral
UAUUACCGCGGCUGCUGGCACGUAGUUAGCCGGUCCUUAUUCUUCCGGUACCGUCAUCGACCCCAGGUAUUAACCAGAGCCAUUUCUUUCCGGACAAAAGUGCUUUACAACCCGAAGGCCUUCUUCACACACGCGGCAUUGCUGGAUCAGGCUUUCGCCCAUUGUCCAAAAUUCCCCACUGCUGCCUCCCGUAGGAGUCUGGGCCGUGUCUCAGUCCCAGUGUGGCUGAUCGUCCUCUCAGACCAGCUACUGAUCGUCGCCUUGGUGGGCCUUUACCCCACCAACUAGCUAAUCAGACAUCGGCCGCUCCUAUAGCAUGAGGCCUUGCGGUCCCCCACUUUCACCCUCAGGUCGUAUGCGGUAUUAGCUAAUCUUUCGACUAGUUAUCCCCCACUACAGGGCACGUUCCGAUGUAUUACUCACCCGUUCGCCACUCGCCAUCAAUCUAGCAAGCUAGAUCAUGCUGCCGUUCGACUUGCAUGUGUAAGGCAUGCCGCCAGCGUUCAAUCUGAGCCAUAAUCAAACUCU